GAUUAGGAGACGUUGAAUACAAAACACCACCAUCAGGCGGGUCGUUCCUGGCUAGUCUCGCGCAAGCGGGGCUGGUGGGGGCGAUUCGUUUCCCUGAUGGCCCGGUGAAUGACUCC
This 116-nucleotide ribosomal RNA is filed under the name Acanthamoeba sp. HK-R23. RNAcentral describes it as "partial 18S rRNA". The record is from RNAcentral. RNAcentral also lists the same sequence under 2 other names. Lineage: Eukaryota; Discosea; Longamoebia; Acanthamoebidae.